Molecule: ribosomal RNA, 404 nt
Filed under: uncultured bacterium
Lineage: Bacteria
Description: bacterial SSU rRNA
Rfam family: Bacterial small subunit ribosomal RNA
Source: RNAcentral
UAGGGAAUCUUCCACAAUGGGCGAAAGCCUGAUGGAGCGACGCCGCGUGCAGGAUGACGGUCUUCGGAUUGUAAACUGCUUUUAUGUGGGAAGAUUAUGACGGUACCACAUGAAUAAGAGUUGGCUAACUCCGUGCCAGCAGCCGCGGUAAUACGGAGAACUCAAGCGUUACCCGGAAUCACUGGGCGUAAAGCGUUGCGUAGGCGGACUCGCAAGUUGGAUCUUAAAGGCCAAGGCUCAACCUUGGAACUGGGUACAAUACUACGAGACUAGAGGAUGGUAGAGGUCAGUGGAAUUGCUGGUGUAGGAGUGAAAUCCGUAGAUAUCAGCAGGAACACCAAUGGCGAAGGCAGCUGACUGGGCCAUUCCUGACGCUGAGGCACGAAAGCGUAGGGAGCGAACCG